This 1444-nucleotide ribosomal RNA is filed under the name metagenome. Its description in RNAcentral is "bacterial SSU rRNA". It matches the Rfam family "Bacterial small subunit ribosomal RNA". The record is from RNAcentral.
AGAGUUUGAUCGUGGCUCAGGAUGAACGCUAGCGGCGCGCUUAAUGCAUGUAAGUCGAGCGAUGAGGCCCCUUCGGGCGUACAUCAGCGGCAGACGGGUGAGUAACACGUGGGUAACCUGCCCCUCAGACGGGGAUAACGGAUGGAAACAUGCGCUAAUACCCGAUGACCUCCUCCGGGAGGAAAGCUCCGGCGCUGAGGGAGGGGCCCGCGGCCCAUCAGCUAGUUGGUAGGGUAACGGCCUACCAAGGCAAAGACGGGUAGGGGGUGUGAGAGCACGGCCCCCCACAAUGGGACUGAGACACGGCCCAUACUCCUACGGGGGGCAGCAGCAGGGAAUAUUGCACAAUGGACGAAAGUCUGAUGCAGCGACGCCGCGUGGAUGAUGAAGGCCCUCGGGUUGUAAAAUCCUUUUCGCGGGGAAGAGACAGGACGGUACCCGCAGAAUAAGCGUCGGCUAACUACGUGCCAGCAGCCGCGGUAAGACGUAGGACGCGAGCGUUAUCCGGAUUUACUGGGCGUAAAGCGUCUGUAGGCGGAUGAGUAAGUUGGGCGUGAAAGCUCCGGGCUUAACCCGGAGAGCGCGUUCAAUACUGCUGAUCUAGAGUGGGGUAGAGGGGCGUGGAAUUUCCGGUGUAGCGGUAAAAUGCGCAGAGAUCGGAAGGAACACCAGUGGCGAAGGCGGCGCCCUGGGCCCAAACUGACGCUGGGAGACGAAAGCUAGGGGAGCGAACAGGAUUAGAGACCCUGGUAGUCCUAGCCCCAAACGCUGGGUGCUAGGUGUGGGAUCGAGGGAUUCCGUGCCGUAGUAAACGCGAUAAGCACCCCGCCUGGGGAGUACGACCGCAAGGCUAAAACUCAAACGAAUUGACGGGGCCCCGCACAAGCAGCGGAGCGUGUGGUUUAAUUCGAUGCUACACGAAGAACCUUACCUGGGAUUGACAUGUAGGUGGUAAUGAAGCGAAAGCUAAGUGACCCUUCGGGGAGCCUACACAGGUGCUGCAUGGCUGUCGUCAGCUCGUGCCGUGAGGUGUCGGGUUAAGUCCCGUAACGAGCGCAACCCUUGCCCUUAGUUAUACGUGUCUAAGGGGACUGCCGGCGGAAAGCCGGAGGAAGGUGGGGAUGACGUCAAGUCAGCAUGGCCUUUAUAUCCAGGGCUACACACACGCUACAAUGGUCGGUACAAUGGGCAGCCAAACCGCGAGGUGGAGCGAAUCCCGAAAAGCCGAUCGUAGUUCGAAUUGCAGGCUGCAACUCGCCUGCAUGAAGCUGGAGUUGCUAGUAACCGCGCGUCAGCUAUAGUGCGGUGAAUACGUUCCCGGGGCUUGUACACACCGCCCGUCACGUCAUGGAAGUUGGUAACGCCUGAAGCCGGUAGCCUAGCCUUAACGGGAGGGCGCUGUCGAAGGCGGGACUGGCAACUGGGACGAAGUCGUAACAAGGUA